GCAAACUUGGUCAUUUAGAGGAAGUAAAAGUCGUAACAAGGUUUCCGUAGGUGAACCUGCGGAAGGAUCAUUAACGAAAGGUCUUUGCAUGGUUUUUUGUUUUGAAGGGCUGUAGCUGGCCUCUACAUAGGCAAAAGUGCACGCCUGGAUUAAUAAAGAUUAUCUAUACGUUCACCCCCUGUAGCGCCAGCCCGCUACGUUUGUUUGUUCAAUAAAACGUGUAUUAAACAAAAAGACUUUUGGGGAUCAGGCAAUGUCAUAACAACUUUCAGCAACGGAUCUCUUGGCUCUCGCAUCGAUGAAGAACGCAGC
RNAcentral lists this unclassified non-coding RNA (312 nucleotides) under uncultured fungus. Its description in RNAcentral is "partial contains small subunit ribosomal RNA, internal transcribed spacer 1, and 5.8S ribosomal RNA". The stretch from base 1 to 73 matches the Rfam family "Eukaryotic small subunit ribosomal RNA", at positions 1759 to 1831 of the family's 1831-position model. The record is from RNAcentral. Lineage: Eukaryota; Fungi.